CGGGAUGUGGCGCAGUCAGGUAGCGUACUCGCAUGGGGUGCGAGUGGUCGCAGGUUCAAAUCCUGUCAUCCCGACAA
RNAcentral lists this transfer RNA (77 nucleotides) under Flavobacteriales bacterium. Its description in RNAcentral is "tRNA-Pro". It matches the Rfam family "tRNA". From Rfam's summary of the family: Transfer RNA (tRNA) molecules are approximately 80 nucleotides in length. The record is from RNAcentral. Lineage: Bacteria; Pseudomonadati; Bacteroidota; Flavobacteriia; Flavobacteriales.